Molecule: transfer RNA, 96 nt
Filed under: bacterium
Lineage: Bacteria
Also listed under: 4 other names
Description: tRNA-Ser
Rfam family: tRNA
About the family: Transfer RNA (tRNA) molecules are approximately 80 nucleotides in length. Their secondary structure includes four short double-helical elements and three loops (D, anti-codon, and T loops).
Source: RNAcentral
GGAGAGGUGGCUGAGUUGGCUGAAGGCACUCGCCUGGAAAGCGAGUAGACGGGGUUAAAACUCGUCUCGCGGGUUCGAAUCCCGCCCUCUCCGCCA